RNAcentral lists this transfer RNA (65 nucleotides) under Gryllotalpa orientalis (oriental mole cricket). Its description in RNAcentral is "tRNA-Asp". The record is from RNAcentral. Lineage: Eukaryota; Metazoa; Arthropoda; Insecta; Orthoptera; Gryllotalpidae.
AAGAAAUUAGUUAAAAUAUAACAUUAAUAUGUCAUAUUAAAAUUAUUAUAACAUAAUAUUUCUUG